Molecule: long non-coding RNA, 655 nt
Organism: Nerophis lumbriciformis (worm pipefish)
Lineage: Eukaryota; Metazoa; Chordata; Actinopteri; Syngnathiformes; Syngnathidae
Source: RefSeq, a predicted model, not a curated record
CGAUGUGAAUUUCUCCCUCAGAGUAAAAAUAAAAAAAACUCUGCUCGCGGGUUCGUCUCGCUCUGGGUGAGCCUGGGCGCUAAGAAAAGAAGAUCAGGGUUGGGGCCUGCAUACUAGUGAGAUUAAACACACAAUUUUGUCCAAUCCUUUUGUAUUUUUACAGAAAAUCACCGCCCAGCGGAUUGUUUCUUUUACUCUUUUUUUUUUAUCAACAUCGACGAUUUGGUUUUCCGACGACAACACUGUCGUUUUCGGGACUUGUGAAAAGCCUCGGACUUGCCUAGUUGUGAACGCCUGAGGCUGCGUCGGCUAGCCCGGCAUGCUGAGUAGGAAAAUCCAGGGAAAGCCGUGUUGCUGCCAAUCGUUGCCACUUUGUUCACUUUGACCCCCGAGCAGAGGUUCCCAAAAUGUGUCCUGGGGGAGCUUAAUCAUCAGCCCACCGAAUACAGACAACAUUGAGCACCUCAGGCAUUAGAACACAACACAGAAAACUGGAAAUGGUCCAAGUCUUCAGGCUACCUGUGUAUUUUACAGUUUUAGCCAGGAUACAAAUGCUCAUCAGAUUUGAUAAGUUUUUAAGUAUGUUAUAAAGACCUCAAUUUAGCUGAUUGUAUUGCUUGUAUUGAUAGUAAUAAAGAAGAAGACAUCACCUACA